Phascolarctos cinereus (koala) is the source of this 1655-nucleotide non-coding RNA. The record is from RefSeq and is a predicted model, not a curated record. Lineage: Eukaryota; Metazoa; Chordata; Mammalia; Diprotodontia; Phascolarctidae.
GGAGAAUCGGCUGCGGCCGACCGUCCGGCCCUUGGCUUCGGCCACUUCCUUGGAGGUGACCCUCCCGUCCGCGCUGCCCAAUUCGCGGGGCUUUCUGUGGGCGCGGGAGCAAAGGUCCGCCCCGGUCUUUGUCGGGGCCCAACCGGCCCUGCAGUCCACCGGCUCUCUCCAGGCCUGGGGGGCAAGUGUUUACCUAACCUCGUCUUCAGUCCCUGGGGAAGGAGACAGGAGGGACUGUGGAAGAAACUAUGGUGAUCAUAGGCACAUGGCCAAAGAUCUGUGCUUGCUUGAAGCCCUAAGUUGUGGACCUGAUUCAAGUUGUCAAGAAGAGGACAGACAGCUGGGACCCUGCUACUCAGAAGAUUGCAGGCCUUAAAGCCAAGACUCCAAGGGACAAGGUAAACCCACAAAUGGAGACUCAUGACUUAAAAUUUUAGGCAUGUAGGCCCACAGAAUACCUUGAACCUAAAAUAAUCUUUCUUCUUGGGAACCCAAACUGCAAAUGUGAGUCUCCAGAAGUAGCCCACAGGUGCACUACACUUUUUUAUUUGUCUUAAUAGAAGUGAAUGCCAUCUUUGUUAUUUUUAUUAUUUAUAAACAACCAAACUACUCUAAACAAAAUUACUCCUUCCAAUACUAUUCAUUAUAUAGGUAGGUUUAAUUUGAACUGUCUUUAUCUGAAGCUUCCUAUUGUUAGCAACUGGUUUGUCUUGAUUUGAAGAAUGUGAAUAGUUUAAAGUACUUAUCUUUUUGGCUUAUAGCCCUGAUGGUUGUUCAAAAGCUUUCUUAAAAUAAAACGAAAGGUAUCUAUAAACCUUUCAAAGUCCAGAAGUUUAACAAAUGAUCUUCUAAACCAAACCAAUUGGUGUAGUACAAACAGCAAUAGACAAAGUUGAUUGUCUUCCUCAUUUUGAACCAUCCUUUCAACCCUUGGUAUGAUCCAAAUUCAACUAAGUCAUAAUGAAUGAUUGGAUGAAUUGCCAUAAUUUGAUUGAUGUUAUUUUACUUAAAUUUCUAAAUCAAUAUUCACUAUUCAUCUUGUUUAUACUUCUUCCUACAUAUCUACCUACCUACAUACAUACAUCCUUUUCUGGUUCUGAUAUUAGGAAUAUAUUUGCCUUGUAAAAGGAAUCUUGUAGAGUGUUUUCUUUCUAAAUUUUAAAAAUAAUUUGUGUAGUCCUGGUACUAAUUGUUCUUUAAAAAUUGUAUAGAAUUCUCCUGUGAAUCCAUCAUAAUCAGGGGUUUUUCCCCACUUUUGGUAGUUAUUUUACCAAAUUUCCUUUUCUGAGAUUGGAUAAUUUAAGAUCUAUGUUUGGUCUGUUACUGUGGGUACUUCAUAUUUUUCAAGAUAUGUCUCUCUUUUGUGUUCUGUUUUAUUGGCACAUUACUGUGCAUAGUUAGCUCUGAUAAUUCUUUUUUUCUUCAGGUUUUACUAUGCUUUCACCUUGUUCACGUGCUACUUCAUUGACUUGAUUUUCUGCCAUCUUCUCUUUAGUCAGGUUGGCCAAAUGUUGUUAAUUGGUUUUUUUUUCAAAUAAAGUUUUUAGUUUUGUAUAUCAUUGCUGUUGUCUUUUUGGCUUCCAAUUUAUAUAUUCUCUAAUUUUCAAUGUCUCCUUUUUUGGGUUUAUUAGCUUUCUAAUUUCUAAAAGGCAUAU